Molecule: non-coding RNA, 1578 nt
Organism: Arachis ipaensis
Lineage: Eukaryota; Viridiplantae; Streptophyta; Magnoliopsida; Fabales; Fabaceae
Source: RefSeq, a predicted model, not a curated record
UCUAUAACUAGCUUUAUGAAUUUGAGAAGAGAUCAGAAGAAAUAAGAAUUUUGAAUGAGAUUUAUAUUAAUAUGGACAAUGCAAAGAUAUAGCAUAUAGAAGAUGAUGCUACUAACUUUAGCAUUUCUACAUUAUUAGAUAGUAAAGUGAUAAAGGCCAAGCUAGAAUUGAAUAUGAUCGUGAUAAUAAUGGUCAACAACAAACACUUAUUAUUGUUACUAACUUUAUCUUAUAAUAUGCUGAAAUCACAUGUUAGCUAGAAUUAAAUAUCAUCCUAAUCUAUAUGCAGGGAUUUGCAGAGCUGGAAUGCUAGCUCUAAAUCAAGGAAAAAAAUAAUAGAAGCUGAAAAGUUAAAAAGAAAAAAAAAGAAGGGUAUAUGGAUUUAAGUGCAAUGUUUUUAUUGCCUUUUUUGCAUAUAUACUUUUUGCACAUGGCUUGUAGAGGAUAGGCUUCUAAAAAAGUUUUGCUUGAUGUUGGGGUUAUAUACUCUCUUUUAUUCCUUUCUGUUUACUAGUACUACUGUUACUGUUUCUUUUUUCGUCUUCUUUUUCGUGACAAUUGAUUAACUUGUGAAAGAAAUGGCUGAGAUGGGAUUGAGGUACUAGCACAUGGUGACACUACUAUUUUCAUACUGCAAGAUGUAGAUUGCAUUUAUACUGAAGAUAAGACUUGAGCAUAUCCCUGAGAGGAUUGUGUUGAUAUCUGAGGCUGCGAAUAGAGAGAAACCUUCUGCCGUUACAAAUACUCUCACCCAACGGAAUUUAUUUGCACCAUGUUAAUGCUGACGUCAAAAUCUCCUUAUUUAUUCAUUUUUUUUAUUAAGUUAUGUCAAUGACUUAUUAUAUUGGACCUGUUCUUGCCCAUUGAAAAAAGGUGAGUGACAAUGAAGAUUGUAACAUCAGCAGCAUAUUUGAAGAAGCUUGUGAUUUUAUAGAUUAUGUUGAGCAGAUUGGUCAGAUAGUUUCAGUUCAUUGUUUUGAAGGGAGAAGCAGAAGUGUUACUCUGGUUCUUGCUUACUUAAUGCUUAGAAAAUUAGUUCAUUUUUUAUGGGAUGGUUUGGUGUUGUAUUCAAAUCCGACAUAUCUCAAGUUUCAGAACAUCUAUCUAUAGCAAUAACAACUGGUUACUUAGGAAGCCUUACAACUUUCAGCAGUUGGAAUCAGAAAAUGCUUCAACUUAGUGUCUCUGGACACUGGCUUUUCGCCAUAUUCAGUUUUUUAUUUGGUAAAUAGGUCUACUAGAUAAGAGAAGUUUUCUUUUAGUUAUAAAUAUGAUCUUAGUCUUGUUGAAUUUUAUUAGUGUUUUUGGCGGCUAUGAUUAGCAUUUAGCAUUAUUGAGUACCUGUUUGGGCCAUGGGAUAUGACACUAGCACAUAACAAUUGGGGCAAAGCAGAAGGCAAUAUCUACUUUUGAACGUGUUUGUUGGUAGAAAAGUCCAAGUUUUUCCCUACCAUAUAUAUUAGAACUUUCAACGAGAGAUGUUGUUAUCCUCCAUGAUAUAUCCUCCAUUACUAUAUCUUAAUCUAAUCUAAUUUUAUUCUGAGAGGGUGUUUCCUUCUCAUUUCUUUCUAUUUUUCA